Molecule: unclassified non-coding RNA, 376 nt
Filed under: uncultured Parachlamydiaceae bacterium
Lineage: Bacteria; Pseudomonadati; Chlamydiota; Chlamydiia; Parachlamydiales; Parachlamydiaceae
Description: contains 16S-23S intergenic spacer region
Source: RNAcentral
UCCGGCUUAUCACCGGCGGUUUCUUUAGAGUGCCCAACUAAAUGAUGGCAACUAAAGACGAGGGUUGCGCUCGUUGCGGGACUUAACCCAACACCUCACGGCACGAGCUGACGACAGCCAUGCAGCACCUGUGCAGCGGCCCCGAAGGGAACUAUCGUUUCUGAUAGCGUCCACUGCAUGUCAAGUCUGGGUAAGGUUCUUCGCGUUGCAUCGAAUUAAACCACAUGCUCCACUGCUUGUGCGGGUCCCCGUCAAUUCUUUUGAGUUUCACCCUUGCGAGCGUACUCCCCAGGCGGUAUACUUAUCGCGUUAGCUUCGACACAACCAGGGUUGAGUCCGGUUACAUCAAGUAUACAUCGUUUACGGCAAGGACUAC